AACGAACGCUGGCGGUAUGCCUAACACAUGCAAGUCGAACGACACCUCCGGGUCUAGUUGCGCUUGGGUGCGUAACGUGUGGGAACCUUCCCUUAGGCUUGGAAUAACUCCCUGUAAGGGGUGCUAACACCGGAAAACGUCCUCUGACAAAAGAUUCGUCGUCCUAGGAAGAGCCGGCGUUGGAUUAGCCUGUUGGGAGGGUAAAAGCCUACCACGGCGUCGAUCGUUAGCGGGUCAGAGAGGAUGGUCAGCGACACUGGGACUAUGACGCGGCCCAGAAUCCUACGGGAAGGAGCAGUGGGGGAUAUAGGACUAUGGGGGGAGUCAUGAUGCAGCUAUGCCGCGUAAGUGAUGAUGGUCGGAGAGAUAUAAAGCUCUUUUACCCGGGGUGAUAAUGACGGUACCGGAAGAAUAAGCUCCGGCUAACUCCGUG
This 433-nucleotide ribosomal RNA is filed under the name uncultured bacterium. RNAcentral's name for it is "partial 16S ribosomal RNA". It matches the Rfam family "Bacterial small subunit ribosomal RNA", at positions 29 to 507 of the family's 1533-position model. The record is from RNAcentral.